This 431-nucleotide ribosomal RNA is filed under the name uncultured bacterium. Its description in RNAcentral is "partial 16S ribosomal RNA". It matches the Rfam family "Bacterial small subunit ribosomal RNA", at positions 29 to 507 of the family's 1533-position model. The record is from RNAcentral.
AACGAACGCUGGCGGCAGGCUUAACACAUGCAAGUCGAACGCCCCGCCAGGGGAGUGGCAGACGGGUGAGUAACGCGUGGGAACAUACCCUUUUCUACGGAAUAGCCCUGGGAAACUGGAAUUAAUACCGUAUACGCCCUACGGGGGAAAGAUUUUUCGGGGAAGACUUGGGCCGCGUUGGAUUAGCUAGUUGGUGGGGUAAAGGCCUACCAAGGCGACGAUCCAUAGCUGGUCUGAGAGGAUGAUCAGCCACAUUGGGACUGGGACACGGCCCAAACUCCUACGGGAGGCAGCAGUAGGGAAUAUUGGACAAUGGGCGCAAGCCUGAUCCAGCCAUGCCGCGUGAGUGAUGAAGGCCUUAGGGUUGUAAAGCUCUUUCACCGAUGAAGAUAAUGACGGUAGUCGGAGAAGAAGCCCCGGCUAACUUCGUG